This 8337-nucleotide long non-coding RNA is filed under the name Jatropha curcas. RNAcentral's name for it is "long non-coding RNA (JCUR_LNC003253)". The record is from RNAcentral. Lineage: Eukaryota; Viridiplantae; Streptophyta; Magnoliopsida; Malpighiales; Euphorbiaceae.
CACCGGGAACCAACUCAUAGAGUUCCUGAAAGCUCAUCUUGGUGCUGCUGAUAUUCCUUAUAUAUCUCCACCCAAUGCAGGAAUUCCUACUGUGUCUUCACCACUAACCAAGCAGAACGCAUUCUUGCUGUUGGAUUGGAUUCAAAACCUGAAAUAUAGCAGAAGUCGCAUGCCAGAGAGGUUCUUAACUUGCAUAAAGGAUGGUAGCUGGCUGAGAAUAACUAUGAAUGGCUGUUCUGGAUAUAAACCACCAUCACAGUCUUUCCUGCUCAAGUCAAAUAGCGGAAACUCAGACUGGGGAAAUAUCAUGCAGAAUGCAGCUGUCCUUGUUGACAUUCCAUUAAUUGAUCAGAACUUUUAUGGUGAGAAAAUUUUCUCAUACAGGGAAGAGCUAAAAACAGUUGGAGUCAUGUUUGAUUAUGAAGAAGCCUGUGAAUUUGUUGCGAAACGUCUCAUGUCUCUUGCAGCUUCAUGGUCCUUAAGUAGAAGCAAUGUGAUCUCGAUGCUGAAUUUUAUUAAAUUUCUGAGUGAACGUUUUCUUUCUCCAGAGAAAUUCAUCCAUAGUGUCAGGGAAGGAAGAUGGCUACAAACAUCCUGUGGUCAAAGAUCUCCCGUUGGAUCUGUCCUGUAUGAUCAGGAAUGGGCAAUUGCAAAGCAGCUAAGUGACAUCCCCUUCAUCGAUCAACAGUAUUAUGGGGAUGAAAUUCUUCGUUUCAAAACAGAACUUCAGUUGCUUGGCGUCAUAGUUGGCUUCAAUGGAAAUUACAAGCUGGUCAUUGACUACCUGAAAUCUCCUUUAUGGUCAGCAUGUCUAACUUCUGAAGCUUUGGUUUUGGCAAUGGAUUGCAUGCGCCAUUGUGGGCCUGUGGACAAACUUGUUAGCGCAUGUAAAAAUACAAAUUGCUUGAAGACCAAUCUUGGUUAUAAGGCCCCGGGUGAAUGUUUUUUGUUUGAUCCUGAAUGGGGUUGCCUUCUAGAGGUUUUUGGUGGUUUCCCAUUGAUUGAUCAUAGUUUCUAUGGAAGCAGAAUCAACUCUUACAAAACACAGUUGAAGCAACUGGGAGUAAAGGUAGACUUUGAGGAGGCUGUGCGAGUCUUUGUGUUAAAAUUUAAGCAGCUGGGGUCAAAGUUUUCCAUUCAGACGAACAAUGUUCUUUCAUUUCUAUCGUGCUACAGAAAGCUAAAAGGUACUUAUGAAUUUCCUUCCGAUCUGGAAAGUUGCAUCCGUGAAGUGCAGUGGUUAAAAACCCGGCUUGGUGAUUAUCGAUCUCCACAAGGAUGCGUUCUGUAUGGACCUGAGUGGGAGUCCAUCGCUCCAAUUACUCUCCUUCCCCAUAUUGAUGACAGUGUCAAUUGUUAUGGAAAGGCCAUUCAUGAAUAUAAAGAGGAAUUGAAGAGCAUGGGCGUUAUUGUUAAAUUUAAAGAUGGUUUGGAGCUUGUGGUUUCUGCUCUUCAUUUUCCCCGGAAUCCUAGCACCAUAACUCCUUCAAAUGUUUUUUCGUUGCUGGAAUGCAUUCAGAUACUAUUGCAACGGGGUGACCCCUUGCCAGAGGCUUUUCUGAAAAAAGCUUCUCAAAAAUGGUUAAAGACCCAUGCUGGUUACAGAACUCCAGACGAGUGCUGCUUGUUUGAUUCGGAAUGGGAUUUAUUUGUGAAGCGGACUGAUGGUCCUUUCAUUGAUGAAGAUUUUUAUGGUUCCAACAUCACAUCAUACAAAAGAGAGCUCAGCGCCAUAGGAGUUGUCGUUGAUGCAGAGAGGGCAUGCUCAUUGCUCGCCAGUUACUUGGGUUCCCAUUCUGAAUCGACCACCAUAGUUCGAAUAUAUCAUUUCUUGAAUAAAUAUAACUGGAAGCCAGGUACUGAAGCAGCUAGCAAGAUAUGGAUUCCAUGCAGAAGUAAAGUGGGAAUAUGGGCUGAUCCACCAAACUGUGUUCUACAUGAUAAAGAUGGUCUCUUUGGUGGUCCGUUGUUUGUUCUUGAGAAAUACUAUGAAAAGGGAUUGCUUGAUUUUUUUCCCAAGAGUUUUGGUGUUAAAUACAGUCCUUCACUUGAUGACUACUGCCAGCUUUGGAAGUCCUGGGAAAGAACAAGAAGUCAAUUGACAAAUGCUGAGUGUUGUGCAUUCUGGAAGUGUGUUAUGAAGCACGGCAGCUCAAAAAUAGCAAAAGCUCUGCUUGAUGACUUGGAAAAGCUGCCUGUUGUUUCAUGCUCCGGUGAAAUCUUCUUGUUCGACAAGCGUGACGUUUUUAUAGCAGAUGACCUUCAACUGAAGGAUCUGUUUGAGAAGUUUUCAACCCAGCCAAUAUUUGUCUGGUAUCCUCAGCCAAGCGUGGCUUCUUUACCCCGCAGCUCUUUGUUUGAAGUGUACAGAAGAACUGGGAUCCGGACAAUUUCUGAAUCUGUACAGAUGAAAGAACUCUCCUUAGAAAAUGGCAUGGAACUAAAGCAGGUGAAUCCGAGUGGUAUUUUUAUUGGCAAAGAACUGGUUAGACUCAUUCUUGGCUUCUUAGCAAAUCCUUCUUUCGAUAUGGAAGCAAUGAAGAGGCAUGAAGCUGUGAAGUGCCUUCUUAAUCUCACUGUCUUGGAGACUGAGGAGCCAAUAAACGUGAGCUACAGUUUAUCACUCUCCUCUGGUGUACCCGUGAAUGUAAGAGCUAGCCAAUUGGUACGGUGGGACAGAGAGAGUUGUAAAUUUUUCACACGGACGAUUGACUAUGCUGGUGGACAGAAAAAUCUCAUUGAAUAUGCAACAUAUUUCUCAGAGGCAAUAGCUGAGGGAGUUUUAUGGGAGCAUGAAGAUCACGUAUUUGCAUUGGCCGAGCUGAUUAAGUUGGCUUUCCUGCUAACUUUUGAUGAAGAAGCAAUUCAAUUUUUGAUGAAAUCCAGGAAUUUGCAAAUUUUCAUGGAGGACGAGGUAUUCUUGUCUGAUGCCUUCCCCUCUGUCUAGGCUAUUAUGGACCCUUAUAUUUCAGCUACUCUCUCUCUUUUGCUUUAUUUUAGCACCAGCCUCUCUGCAUGACUAAAAUAUUACUAUGUUUGUGUAUUUGUCAUGUGAGAUGGUGAAUGCUAUUGGUUUGGAGUAUGUAAACCUUAGUGCUAGUUUUUCAUUUGCUUUGCAGUGGUUUGAUGUAAUAACUAGUGUGUAUUGUAAUUUGUAAGAAUGGAUCAUUUGAAAUAUUUCUCUCAAAGAAAGAACACUAAAAUGUUACGACAUUGAAAUGGGCUACCACGAUAAGAUAAAUAUUUGGCAAGUUUCAAGCCCAAAUGUAGAAACCCCAAGCCCAAAGAUGUAUGCCCCAGCCACAAAGUGUGUAAAUACUUAGGGCAUUUUAGAAUACUUCCACUCAAAGAUAUUUUGUGAAAAUAUCUCACCUACUCUAGAAUGCUCCAUGUAAUCUCCACCGUAUAUUUUUGUAAGCAAAUCUUAGCCGUACGUUGAGGAGGUGAAAAUGCCCAUAAAUACCACCCCUCCUCUCAUUUGUAAAAAACCAGUAAGCAAUCAUUUCCUUAAGUUUUGUGAAUAUUUGCUUCUUAUUAAUAUAAUUAUAUUUGGUGUUUUGUAUUAGUAUUAUUUUGGUUGUCUUUCCCGUUAUUAUUCUUGGUGUUAUAAAUUAUUAAUCAAUCUUGGAGUUUAUCACUACACUGAUAUCCAACGGAUGGUAUCGGAGCAUUAAUCCCAACAGAAACUGGUGCUGCAAUAAAUUAAAAGCUCAGGUCAGCAUACAAUGAAAGCGGUGAUCUUGCUCUUUCUAAUCAAAGAUGAAAUGAAGUUUCAAUCAUUCACUUAUGCAGCCAAAUACCAAUAUAAGCCAUUGCUAAUUAGUAUUCUAGUUCUUCUCCUUCAAGACAAAAUAGCACUGGUCUUUUUUAGCUAGAAAUAAAAACAGAAACACACAAAUGAAUUUAAGUUUUUUUUUUUUUUUAAAAAAAAAACACCAGGUGUUGCCUUUUUUUUUUUAAAAAAAAAAAGCUGCAACUCGUGAUGUUGUAUCGUAAAAAGUUUACCUCCUUAGCUGAUAGGAGUAAUUUCGCAAUGAAGAUUGUGCAAGACGAAUCCUUUGCAAGAGCUGCUCCAUUAUUACACAUACAAACAAAUAAUCAUAAUAUAAAAACCACAUCCUUAGUUGCUAAUUAACUAUUUUAAAGAUCUCAUUUAACCAAAACAUAAUUUAAAUUACUGAAACAGAGGAGCCUUCACAACCCAUUCUUUCCCUCGUAAGCCCCCACAUUGUCUUCAUCUUUGCUUUGUCAGUGACUGUAACUCCUCUCUAAACAAAAACAACAAUUAGAACAGACAUCAGCAUCGAAGUACAGAACCACGUCGUUUACGAAACUAUAUUUGAUACAUUUUGAUCAAAGUAGCUUACAAGGAAAAAAGAAUUCUCCGCUAGAUGAAAGUAAAAAAUAUUUUCCGGGAAAGUAAAAUGAAAGCUAUGUAACGAAAUCUGGCGAAAUGGCAAUAGAGUAGUACUAAUUGGGCUCGAGAUUCGGCUGAAGCGAUUCUGAUGGGCUAACAAAGAGGAGAGACCGUUAACCCGCCGCGAAAAUAUCUGCGCCCCGCCAUUAAUUCGACGAUUCAUUUAUUUAUUUUUUCAAUCCAUUAGAAGGUCUUGGAUUGGUCAUGGGCUACCCAUAAACCCGCUUAGUCCAUCAAAAGUUUCUCUGUAUAAAUGAACUGGAUUUUGAUUUAUUUGUUUCUCUUAAUAAAUUAUUUUUCUUUUUCUUUUUCUUUUUGGUACUACUAUGGGAAAAUUAUCUAAUACUGUUGUUUUUUUUUUUUUUUUUUCCAGCUGUUAUCUUUAGAAAUUUUAAAAACUGUAUUCAUAAAUUCAUAUGAUAAAUAGUACUAUUUUAAAUGUAAACAUAAAUUUACAUUCUGUGUGUGUUGUAUGGAUGUGCAUUCACAUAUUAAUAUGAAGCGACGCAGUGAUCCUGCUGGAGCCAAAAUGAAGAGAAGCUGAUUGGCGAGCCCAACAGAAGGAAAAUAAUGCCAGCACUGCUGUGAUAUUCUAUUUCCUAGAAUCUUAGCCAUUGGUUUCUCAUUGUAACUCCACCACCGUUGAACGCUUUUCUUUUUGGUGUUCGCCUAAAGGUUUAUUUUUCUCUAAUUAAGUCAAUGUCAAUUGGGUCAAUCGCUUUUCUACUUUGUCUCCUUCCUUAGCAAGUUACCUUCUCCGCGAAGCAGUCUUCACUUGACUAGCUCACUAACACUAAACUACACUCUUCUGCAAACCACCAUUUUAUUUUCUUCUCUCUCGCUCUCUCAAUCUCUGGUUUUGCUUAGUUCUGUUUGCAAUGGCGACUCCUCGUGAUCACAUCGAGCAUCUUAGGAAGACGUGGUUCUCCAUCGGAGGACCAGAGAAUCCACUGGCUACCAUGCUUGACAAGGCUGUUAAAUACCUCUCUGAUGAACUCUAUACUAAGGAUGUCCACUAUUUUAUGGAACUCAUACAGGUUUUUUACGCUACUACUCUUUCCUCUCUAUCUAUUUUCCUAAAUAUGACACAAUGCUAAUGGAUGUGACCGUUUCACCUCUGUUAUGUUGUUUGUUUUGCCUUUCCCCCGUUUUUGUUGGCAUGUACUAUGGAAGGAUGCAUUGGUUUUUUUUUUUUCUUUUUCUUUUUGUUAGCGUUCUGAUUUUUCAACUGAUUCAGACUUCGAAAUUUUGAUCGUUCAUUAUUAUGUCAAUAUCGAUUGAGCAGUGUGUUCUGUAUAAAUGAAUUUGAAGUAUAGAGUUCCGUUUAGAUAUUUUGCAAAAAGCGUUGAAUUAAAUUUUCCUCCGCAGAAUGCAGAGGACAAUGAGUAUCCGGAAAGGAUAGAUCCUUCGCUUGAGUUUGUCAUAACAUCGCGGGAUAUAACAGCCACGGGUGCUCCUGCAACAUUACUGAUAUUCAAUAAUGAGAAAGGAUUUUCUCCUAAAAAUAUAGAGUCUAUUUGCAAUGUUGGAAAUUCCACUAAACAAGGCCACAGGAAACGCGGUUAUAUCGGGGAGAAAGGUACUUAUUCAUUUAUUUCUCUUUAAAUUUUAUAGAUAUGCUGUCCAAUUCUGUCAUAUAUGAGAAUGAGAACCUGUCAUGGAGAUCAUAUCAUUUAUUGGCAUUUCCAAGUUUCUCUCUAAACUUGCACAUCUUUUUCUGCUCUCUUGUUGUCAGUUGGGCUUAAGAAAUGCUAUAAAGUAUGUCUCCAAAGUUGAGAUAACAAACUUUCUUUUUGGUUGAUCAACAGGAAUUGGGUUCAAGAGUGUGUUUCUUAUCAGUGCUCAACCUCACAUUUUCAGUAAUGGCUAUCAGAUACGCUUCAAUGAAAAGCCUUGUCCAUACUGCAAACUUGGAUACAUAGUUCCUGAAUGGGUUGAGGAGAACCCAUCUCUCUCUGAUAUAAAACAAAUUUAUGGUUCUGGUCCCUCCAUUCCUACUACAACAAUAGUCUUGCCUUUGAAGCUUGACAAGAUGAAAGCUGUGAAGCAGCAACUCUCAAACAUUCAUCCUGAAGUCCUGUUAUUCCUUUCCAAGAUAAAGCGCCUUUCUGUGAGAGAGGAUAAUGAGGAUCCGCGGCUCAAUACUAUUAAAGCUAUAGCUAUUACAAAAGAGACCAAUUUUGUGACAAGGAAGAAUAUUGAUGCUGAAUCCUACACGCUCUAUCUGUCAGCAGAGGAAACUGGCGAUGCCUCCAAUGAAGAAUGCAGCUACUAUGUCUGGAAGCAGAAGCUUCCUGUCAGACAGGAAAAUAAAGUUGAUAGGAGAAUGGAAGUGGAGGAGUGGGUGAUCACUUUGGCAUUUCCUAAUGGAGAGCGUCUGCAUAGGGGAACAAGCUCACCUGGGGUUUAUGCGUUUCUUCCUACAGAGAUGGUUACGAAUUUCCCAUUCAUAAUUCAAGCUGAUUUUCUUCUAGCAUCAUCAAGAGAAACAAUACUUUUGGACAAUAUAUGGAAUCAAGGAAUUCUUGACUGUGUGCCCUUUGCUUUCAUUAAUGCAUUAAACUCGCUUGUCAAAACUACAGAAGACGCACCUGCUUCUAGUUUGCCCCCAAUGUUUAAGUUCCUUCCAGUCAGCAGCUCUCCUUAUCCAAGGUUGAAUGCUGUCAGGGAGUCGAUCAAAGCAAAACUGGCUGAAGAAAAUAUUGUUCCAAGUGAAUCGUACACGGAGCAGAAGUUCUUUCAUAAACCAUGCGAAGUUCGUAGAAUAAUGCCUGAAUUCUGGAAUAUUUUGAAGAUGGCAAGGAAUCAAGGAGUGAGCUUGCAUAAUCUUUCCUCCCAUGGUUGGUAUGUUCUGAAUUCUUCGUUUGACCAACCAGAGUAUGAUGAAAUACUGAAUUUUCUAGGAGUAGGAUCAGUGAACAAUGAAUGGUAUGCUAAGUGUAUCCAGGGCUCUAAUCUCAUAAUGGGAGUCUCCGAGGAAACUUAUUUGGAGAUUCUUGCCUUCCUUGCUGACAAUUGGCAGUCCAAGUUUCGCUACACUGAGGUUCUAAACAUUCCAAUUAUAAAAUAUGAAGGUAAAGACGGGGGUGUAUGUUUGUGCACUAUUAAUGAAUCAGCAAAAAGUAGGUUGUUACUGUGCUUAUCUGAUGUGUUUGGUCAAGCAUCACGGUUGAUUGAUUGGAACAGAGAAUUCAGAUGCGUGGCAAAUUUGUUUUUUAUGCCAUUAAGUACACAAGAAGCCAUCAGGGUAUGUUCCAAACGGCGAUUGGUGUGGGACUGGUUCAUAAAUCAUGUGAAUCUUAAAGCUUACAAUGUAUAUCAGUAUGCAUCUGUACUCUGUAAACAUGUUAGUGGUGACCGGAAGCUUGUCAUUGCCUAUGCUCUCUUUUUAUAUAGCUCAUUCUCCUGCAAGUAUCUGUCAAAGACAGAGGUGGAUGAUUUGUGUCGUAUUAUGCCUCUUGUAGAUAACUAUGGGACUGUGACCAAAAGUUGGAGUGCGGUUCUUGUGCCAGCUAAUGGAAGCAAAUGGGUGCAGUUGAUUGGUUCAAAUCCCUGGAGAACAGAGGGUUAUAUUGAGUUGGGAGAAGACUAUUCAUGCCCUGGAUCUUACGUUGGUCAAAGAGCCACCGGGAACCAACUCAUAGAGUUCCUGAAAGCUCAUCUUGGUGCUGCUGAUAUUCCUUAUAUAUCUCCACCCAAUGCAGGAAUUCCUACUGUGUCUUCACCACUAACCAAGCAGAACGCAUUCUUGCUGUUGGAUUGGAUUCAAAACCUGAAAUAUAGCAGAAGUCGCAUGCCAGAGAGGUUCUUAACUUGCAUAAAGGAUGGUAGCUGGCUGAGAAUAACUAUGAAUGGCUGUUCUGGAUAUAAACCACCAUCACAGUCUUUCCUGCUCAAGUCAAAUAGCGGAAACUCAGACU